GAGACAUUUUUCCAAGGAAGAUAUGCAAAUGAUAAAUAAGCAUAUGAAAAGAUGCUCAGCAUCAUUAGUCAUAAGAGAAAUUCAAAUGAAAGCCUCAGUGAGAUACCACUUCACACACAUUAGGAUGGAUAGAAUCGAAAGGUCAAAUGGUAACAAGUGUUGACAAAAAUCACAUACUGCUGGUGGUAAUAUGAAAUGGAAAAGUCACUUUGGAAACCACUCUGGCACAUUCCUUAAAUGAUUAAACACAGAGCUACUGUAUGACCCAGCAGUCCUACUCCUAGGUAUAUAAGAAAAAAUUAAAAAAUAAAACAAAAAUAUAUGUCUGUACAAAAGUCGUACACAAAUGUUUAUAACAGCAUUAUUCAUCAAGCCAAAAAAGUGGAAACAACCCAAAUGUCCAUCAACUGACAAAAAUGUGACAAUGGGAUAUUAUUCAGCCAUAAAAAGGCAUAAUUUCCAGAUACCUGCAACAAUAGGAUGAUCAUGGAAAACAUCAUGCUGAGUGAAGGAAGCCAGAUACUAAGGAAUGGUGGCCAUGAUUUAGGGAGAAGUGAGGGUUUGAGUGUGAACUGGUGGUUUAUGCCAAGGGAAUCUCGGCUACUACUUACAACAUGGAUAAAUCUCUAAACAUUGUGCUGAAUGAAAGAAGUCGCAACCAACAGACACUCUUCUGUACAAUUCCAUUUAUAUGAAGUUCUAGAAUAGGCAAUCUAGAGUUCAUCUGUGAUGAAAAAAAUAAAUCAGGUCACUGGUUGCUUCUUGGGCUUUUGGAGUACAGAGGAACUGACUGGAAAAGUACAGGAAGGAACUUUCUAGGGUGUUGGACAUGUUCUAUAGGUUGGUCAGAGUUUGAGUUUACACAAGUUUUUUUGUUUAUAAAAACUCAGGGAAUGAUAGACUUAAGACUUAUACCUUUCAGUGUAUGCAAUUUUACUCCAACCAAAGAACCAUAAACAAUAUUGACUCCUGUUGCAUGUAAUGUUGCAUGUUGCUGUGUUUAGAGGGAGACCACACUGAUGACAGCCAUGUACUUUGAAAUGUAUUAAGAUAGAUUGAUAGAUGGAUAGAUUCACAAAUAUAACAAAAUGUUAACAAUUGUAGAAACUAGGUAGGUUUCUACAAUUUGGUAGGUUUAUACCUGUGCACUAUACAAUUUCCAUCCACUUUUCUGCGUGCUUGACAUUUUUUUUAUUAAAGGAAAUAUCAUGAACUGCAAGUAAAUAGAAAUCUUAUCCUGAUUUCUAGUAGAUACCUAGAACAAUCUGAUGAAAACUCUGUACCUCUUCUCAAAGGCAUCCAUUCCAACGGAAACAAGAUGUUGCUCACAUCUUGUGAGCAUGGACCUCCUAAAGCCUAUUUGUGGACCACUGAUAUGGCCAAAGAGUUAAUGACUUCAUGGCUGUCCAGAUGUAGAUGAGGGGAAAGGAGUGAAAAGCAAUUGGGAGAAUUUUGGGAAAAUACAGGGGGAGAAUGGUGGUGUAAUUAUAAUUGGAAACUGACACAUUGUAACUAUAUGAUCAUGUUUCUGUUACUGAUUUUAGUAGUUUCUUUAUCAGGCAGCCUCAUUCCUCAUUUAGCAUCCAAUUAAUAAAGUUGCUAUUGACAA
Molecule: long non-coding RNA, 1609 nt
Organism: Canis lupus familiaris (dog)
Lineage: Eukaryota; Metazoa; Chordata; Mammalia; Carnivora; Canidae
Exons: 2
Source: RefSeq, a predicted model, not a curated record